RNAcentral lists this unclassified non-coding RNA (416 nucleotides) under soil metagenome. RNAcentral describes it as "partial contains 5.8S ribosomal RNA, internal transcribed spacer 2, and large subunit ribosomal RNA". The stretch from base 1 to 120 matches the Rfam family "5.8S ribosomal RNA", at positions 35 to 154 of the family's 154-position model. The record is from RNAcentral.
GAUGAAGAACGCAGCGAAAUGCGAUAAGUAAUGUGAAUUGCAGAAUUCAGUGAAUCAUCGAAUCUUUGAACGCACCUUGCACUCCUUGGUAUUCCGAGGAGUACGCCUGUUCGAGUGUUAUGAAGCUCUCAAAACGCAAUUGGCUUAAAACCUGAUUGUUGUUUUGGAUUUGAACUUUGCCGUGUUAUAACGGCUGGUUUUAAAAGUAUUAGCUGGUACUAGAACGAAUUGGUUCUACUCAACGUGAUAAUUAUCUGAUCGUUGAGGACAUUCCUUUCACGAGGAAUGGCCAUAGUAAAUUCAAUGGACUGCUUCUAAUCUGGCUUUAAUUCUUUAUUGGAUUAACCACUUUUCAAAUCUGACCUCGAAACAGGUGGGACUACCCGCUGAACUUAAGCAUAUCAAUAAGCGGAGGA